AACGAACGCUGGCGGCAGGCCUAACACAUGCAAGUCGAGCGCGCCUUCGGGUGAGCGGCGGACGGGUGAGUAACGCGUGGGAAUAAGCCCUUCUCUACGGAAUAGCCCUGGGAGACUGGGGGUAAUACCGCAUACGCUCUUUGGGGGAAAGAUUUAUCGGGGAAGGAUUAGUCCGCGUUGGAUUAGGUAGUUGGUGGGGUAAUGGCCUACCACGCCGACGAUCCAUAGCUGGGUUGUGAGGAUGGUCAGCCACCCUGGGACUGAGACACGGCGCAGACUCCUACGGGAUGCAGCAGUGGGGGAUCUUGGACAAUGGGGGCAACGCUGAUCGAGCCAUGCCGCGUGAGUGAUGAAGGCCGGAGGGUUGUAAAGCUCGUGCAGCUGGGAAGAUAAUGACGGUACCAGCAGAAGAAGCCCCGGCUAACUCCGUG
This 431-nucleotide ribosomal RNA is filed under the name uncultured bacterium. RNAcentral describes it as "partial 16S ribosomal RNA". It matches the Rfam family "Bacterial small subunit ribosomal RNA", at positions 28 to 507 of the family's 1533-position model. The record is from RNAcentral.